This is a long non-coding RNA of Octopus sinensis (East Asian common octopus), 160 nucleotides long. RefSeq lists it as uncharacterized. Lineage: Eukaryota; Metazoa; Mollusca; Cephalopoda; Octopoda; Octopodidae. The transcript has 4 exons. The record is from RefSeq and is a predicted model, not a curated record.
UGUAAAUUUGUUAAAAUAUCAAUAUAUUUGUUGGAUUUUUUUUGUUAAUUUUUUUAUAUUUAUAAUGUGGGUUGUGUCGAUGAUUGCGGAGACUCAUCGAGCUCCUUUUGAUUUUGCUGAAGGGGAUUCAGCAUUAGUUUCUCAUUUUAAUGUAGAGAUC